ACUACGGGCGGCUGCAGUGAGGAAUAUUGGUCAAUGGGCGCGAGCCUGAACCAGCCAAGUAGCGUGAAGGAUGACUGCCCUACGGGUUGUAAACUUCUUUUAUAAAGGAAUAAAGUGAGGCACGUGUGCCUUUUUGUAUGUACUUUAUGAAUAAGGAUCGGCUAAAUCCGUGCCAGCAGCCGCGGUAAUACGGGGGAUCCGAGCGUUAUCCGGAUUUAUUGGGUUUAAAGGGAGCGUAGAUGGGUUGUUAAGUUAGUUGGGAAAGUUUUCGGCUCAAACGUAAAAUUGCAAUUGAUACUGGCAGUCUUGAGUACAGUUGAGGUAGGCGGAAUUCGUGGUGUAGCGGUGAAAUGCUUAGAUAUCACGAAGAACUCCGAUUGCGAAGGCAGCAUACUAAACUGCCACUGACAUUGAUGCUCGAAAGUGUGGGUAUCAAACAGGAUUAGAUACCCCAGUAGUC
RNAcentral lists this ribosomal RNA (460 nucleotides) under uncultured bacterium. Its description in RNAcentral is "partial 16S ribosomal RNA". It matches the Rfam family "Bacterial small subunit ribosomal RNA", at positions 338 to 795 of the family's 1533-position model. The record is from RNAcentral.